Molecule: long non-coding RNA, 462 nt
Organism: Syzygium oleosum
Lineage: Eukaryota; Viridiplantae; Streptophyta; Magnoliopsida; Myrtales; Myrtaceae
Exons: 2
Source: RefSeq, a predicted model, not a curated record
UCUCCUCAGCCGGCAGCCCUUCCACCCACAACCAUCACUCCCCCUCUCUUUCUCUUGUUUGGCCGUGGGGAGCACCUCACCGGAGGAGCCGUCGCCGCCGCCGGUGCCGUCGCCGGGAACCACCACCCCACGCCUCACCAGCCUCACCAGUCCGUCCUCUCUCUCUCCCGACCGCCGCGACCAGCCACCCCUCCGCCUAGGCUCGCGCCGUUCGCCGGAACCGCCGCUGCCGUUACUGUUCCAGCGAGGCGUCGCCGCUGUCCAGCCGCCAUUGCCGCGUGUUCGGCUCGGUUUGAAGCUUAGGACACCCGACCCCAGCCUUGAGGAUGGCAGGCGUACCGAAGUGUUUUGGGAGGAGCCCCGGCUAGUUGUAGUGGCCUUGAACUGCUUUUGAUUUUUGAGCAUGGGCUGUAGUUGAAUAUUGUGUCUGGUGCCCAGUAUCAACGCAAGUGUAAUUAUUCA